This 249-nucleotide unclassified non-coding RNA is filed under the name uncultured bacterium. Its description in RNAcentral is "contains 16S-23S intergenic spacer region". The record is from RNAcentral.
CGGACUUGACAUGUAGGUGGUCCCUCAGCUUUCGCCUCGGUACCACCUACAUGUCAAGUCCGGGUAAGGUUCUUCGCGUUGCAUCGAAUUAAACCACACGCUCCGCUGCUUGUGCGGGCCCCCGUCAAUUCCUUUGAGUUUUAGCCUUGCGGCCGUAGUCCCCAGGCGGGGUGCUUAUUGCGUUAGCGACGGCACCGGAGGGGUCGAUACCCCCGACACCUAGCACCCAUCGUUUACAGCGUGGACUAC